Zonotrichia leucophrys gambelii is the source of this 964-nucleotide long non-coding RNA. RefSeq lists it as uncharacterized. The transcript is spliced from 3 exons. Lineage: Eukaryota; Metazoa; Chordata; Aves; Passeriformes; Passerellidae. The record is from RefSeq and is a predicted model, not a curated record.
CAGCACAGCAUGGCCAGCUCCUCACAAGAACAUGGCCAGCGCUGGCAGCAGCUUUUCCUCUAGAUGCUCUGGCAAAGGACAUAAAAGAACACAAGAUUAAUGUAGCCUGGAGGAGUCUGGCCCUGCAGAAAAUACAGGUAAAUUCAGCAGAAGCAUUUUGUGGUACACCUGUGACAGUACUGGUACUCCUGGCAGAAGAAUCAGGAAGCCUGUUCCUUUACAUUAGAACACAAACCCUCCAUCCAUCAGUCACCCUGGCAUUCCUCCUUCCCCAUAAAGCAUGUGACAGGACACAUUCACAUUUCCAAGGGGUCUUCUCAGAGCCUGGCUCUGUUUCAAAGAAGGUAUCAUGAAAGAAGAGCAUGCUGGCCUGUGAAAGUGGCAACGUGGAAAGAUCCUUAUUCAACUCAGGGGUGAAAAAAAGUGAAUUAGAUGCAGCAAGUCAUUUUCCUCCAGCUACAAGUAAUACAAUUCCCAUGCAGAACUGAAUAGUUAUGGGAUCAUUUUAAAGUUCAAACUUCUCUUCCUGGUCAAGGAGUGUUUCACAAAGGAGCAUGGAAUUAAUUUAAAUUCAAGACUACAGACAAAACAAAUGGGCCACAAAUGGUUUAUAAAUGUUUUCUUGCUUAAGAAUAACUCUGUGAUCCAUCACUGAGUUCACUGCUGAAGUGUUUGGCCACAGCAAGGAACCUGUUCCUCCUGCCACACUGGUGUAAACCAGAAUUGAUUCAUUUGAAACAAAUAGAUGAAGGUGAUGGUUAAAGUCAGACUAAAGCAAGUCUAACUAGGAGGAGCCUGACUGCUGUUUUAUCUAAACCCAUGGUAAUAUUACUGUCUGACCCACUGCACUCAAUUAAGCCUAUUUUUAUGUAUGUCAUAUAUUCUGCAAAGCAACUCUUUCCCAGUUUAUGUUCAUAUAAUUGCACUUACUCUGCUUGCUGAAGAACUGACCUAGUAUUUUCAA